RNAcentral lists this small RNA (155 nucleotides) under Crocodylus porosus (Australian saltwater crocodile). RNAcentral describes it as "TUC338 (ENSCPRG00005004824.1)". Lineage: Eukaryota; Metazoa; Chordata; Crocodylia; Crocodylidae. The record is from RNAcentral.
AUGAAGUCCUGAAAGCCAGAAGUGCUCUGUUUAUCCCAGAAUAAGUACAGCAAGGGCAGCAGGAGGACAAGCUUCUCCAUGCUGUGACUUUGAAGGACUACCUAUAAGAGUGAAUGGGCAGUUCGGUCUUCAUCCUUUGCCAUGCCUGACCUUCU